ACGCUCGACACCUACUGGAGGCAGCAGUGGGGAAUAUUGCACAAUGGGGGAAACCCUGAUGCAGCGACGCCGCGUGAGCGAAGAAGUAUUUCGGUAUGUAAAGCUCUAUCAGCAGGGAAGAAAAUGACGGUACCUGACUAAGAAGCCCCGGCUAACUACGUGCCAGUAGCCGCGGUAAUACUGAGCGGGCGUGGCGAAGGACG
Molecule: ribosomal RNA, 203 nt
Filed under: uncultured bacterium
Lineage: Bacteria
Description: partial 16S ribosomal RNA
Rfam family: Bacterial small subunit ribosomal RNA
Source: RNAcentral